GAAUAUUGGACAAUGGGCGAAAGCCUGAUCCAGCAAUGCCGCGUGAGUGAUGAAGGCCUUAGGGUUGUAAAGCUCUUUUACCAGGGAUGAUAAUGACAGUACCUGGAGAAUAAGCUCCGGCUAACUCCGUGCCAGCAGCCGCGGUAAUACGGAGGGAGCUAGCGUUGUUCGGAAUUACUGGGCGUAAAGCGCGCGUAGGCGGCUUUUCAAGUCAGGCGUGAAAGGCCUGGGCUCAACCCGGGAAUUGCGCUUGAGACUGGGCUGGCUUGAGUGCGGGAGAGGAUGGUGGAAUUCCCAGUGUAGAGGUGAAAUUCGUAGAUAUUGGGAAGAACACCGGUGGCGAAGGCGGCCAUCUGGACCGCAACUGACGCUGAGGCGCGAAAGCGUGGGGAGCAAACAGG
Molecule: ribosomal RNA, 401 nt
Filed under: uncultured bacterium
Lineage: Bacteria
Description: bacterial SSU rRNA
Rfam family: Bacterial small subunit ribosomal RNA
Source: RNAcentral